Molecule: ribosomal RNA, 377 nt
Filed under: uncultured Lactobacillus sp.
Lineage: Bacteria; Bacillati; Bacillota; Bacilli; Lactobacillales; Lactobacillaceae
Description: bacterial SSU rRNA
Rfam family: Bacterial small subunit ribosomal RNA
Source: RNAcentral
AUAACAACAGAUGAUGCCUAUCAACUGUUUAAAAGAUGGGUUCUGCUAUCACUCUUGGGAUGGGACCUGCGGUGCAUUUAGCUAGUUGGUAGGGGUAACGGGCCUACCAAGGCGAUGAUGCAUAGCCCGAGUUGAGAGACUGAUCGGGCCACAUUGGGGACUGAGACACGGGCCCAAAACUCCUACGGGGAGGGCAGCAGUAGGGAAUCUUCCACAAUGGACGCAAGUCUGAUGGAGCAACGCCGCGUGAGUGAAGAAGGGUUUCGGCUCGUAAAGCUCUGUUGUUGGUGAAGAAGGACAGGGGUAGUAACUGACCUUUGUUUGACGGUAAUCAAUUAGAAAGUCACGGCUAACUACGUGCCAGCAGCCGCGGUAAU